UAGUCCACACCGUAAACGAUGAAUGCCAGUCGUCGGGCAGUAUACUGUUCGGCGACACACCUAACGGAUUAAGCAUUCCGCCUGGGGAGUACGGUCGCAAGAUUAAAACUCAAAGGAAUUGACGGGGGCCUGCACAAGCGGUGGAGCAUGUGGUUUAAUUCGACGCAACGCGCAGAACCUUACCAGCUUUUGACAUCCUGGUCGCGGAUUUGGGAGACCAUUUCCUUCAGUUCGGCUGGACCAGUGACAGGUGCUGCAUGGCUGUCGUCAGCUCGUGUCGUGAGAUGUUGGGUUAAGUCCCGCAACGAGCGCAACCCUCAUCCUUAGUUGCCAGCAUUUAGUUGGGCACCCUAGAGAAACCUGCCGGUGACAAACCGGAGGAACGGUAAGGAUGACGUCAAGUCAGCAUGCCCCUUACGCUCUGGGCUACACACGUGCUACAAUGGUCGUGACAAAGNGUUGCUAGUCUGCGAAGGCAAGCCAAUCUCAUAAACGCGGU
Molecule: ribosomal RNA, 499 nt
Filed under: uncultured bacterium
Lineage: Bacteria
Description: bacterial SSU rRNA
Rfam family: Bacterial small subunit ribosomal RNA
Source: RNAcentral